Molecule: ribosomal RNA, 591 nt
Filed under: uncultured bacterium
Lineage: Bacteria
Description: bacterial SSU rRNA
Rfam family: Bacterial small subunit ribosomal RNA
Source: RNAcentral
UACUCCUACGGGAGGCAGCAGUAGGGAAUCUUCGGCAAUGGGGGCAACCCUGACCGAGCAACGCCGCGUGAGUGAAGAAGGUUUUCGGAUCGUAAAGCUCUGUUGUAAGAGAAGAACGAGUGUGAGAGUGGAAAGUUCACACUGUGACGGUAACUUACCAGAAAGGGACGGCUAACUACGUGCCAGCAGCCGCGGUAAUACGUAGGUCCCGAGCGUUAUCCGGAUUUAUUGGGCGUAAAGCGAGCGCAGGCGGUUAGAUAAGUCUGAAGUUAAAGGCUGUGGCUUAACCAUAGUACGCUUUGGAAACUGUUUAACUUGAGUGCAGAAGGGGAGAGUGGAAUUCCAUGUGUAGCGGUGAAAUGCGUAGAUAUAUGGAGGAACACCGGUGGCGAAAGCGGCUCUCUGGUCUGUAACUGACGCUGAGGCUCGAAAGCGUGGGGAGCAAACAGGAUUAGAUACCCUGGUAGUCCACGCCGUAAACGAUGAGUGCUAGGUGUUGGGUCCUUUCCGGGACUCAGUGCCGCAGCUAACGCAUUAAGCACUCCGCCUGGGGAGUACGACCGCAAGGUUGAAACUCAAAUGAAUUGACGG